AUGGACUGGACCUGGAGAAUUCUCUUCCUGGUGACAGUGGCUGCAGGUGUGAACUCCCAGGUGCAGCUGGUGCAGUUGGGGGCUGAGAUGGGAGAACCUGGGACAUCAGUUAAGAUCACCUACAAGGCCUGCUGUUACACUUUCACCAACUACUUGAUGUGUUGGGUGCGUCAGAUCCCGGGACAAGGUCUUGAGUGGAUGGGAUACAUGAACCCCAACACUGGUGGUACGAUCUAUGCACCAAAGUUUCAGGGAAGACUCACACUCAACGGAGAUAUGUCCACGAACACAGCCUACAUGGAACUGAGCAGGCUGAGCACUGAGGACACGGCAGUGUAUUACUGUGCGAGAGGCACAGUGUGA
This is a non-coding RNA of Sorex fumeus (smoky shrew), 363 nucleotides long. Lineage: Eukaryota; Metazoa; Chordata; Mammalia; Eulipotyphla; Soricidae. The record is from the annotation of a RefSeq genome assembly.